This 377-nucleotide ribosomal RNA is filed under the name uncultured bacterium. RNAcentral describes it as "bacterial SSU rRNA". It matches the Rfam family "Bacterial small subunit ribosomal RNA", at positions 521 to 896 of the family's 1533-position model. The record is from RNAcentral.
UAAGACAGAGGGUGCAAACGUUGCUCGGAAUUACUGGGCGUAAAGCGCGUGUAGGCGGACUGGUAAGUCGGACGUGAAAGCCCUGGGCUCAACCCAGGAACUGCAUCCGAAACUAUCAGUCUGGAGUGGUGGAGAGGGAAGCAGAAUUCCUGGUGUAGAGGUGAAAUUCGUAGAUAUCAGGAGGAACACCGGUGGCGAAGGCGGCUUCCUGGACACUAACUGACGCUGAGACGCGAAAGCGUGGGGAGCAAACAGGAUUAGAUACCCUGGUAGUCCACGCCGUAAACGAUGAGUGCUGGGUGUCGUGGGUUUUGACCCCCGCGGUGCCGUAGCUAACGCGUUAAGCACUCCGCCUGGGGAGUACGGCCGCAAGGCUA